GAAGGGGGCAAGCGUUGUUCGGAAUGACUGGGCGUAAAGGGCGCGUAGGCGGUUCGUUGCGUCAGAUGUGAAAGCCCCGGGCUCAACCUGGGAACUGCAUUUGAUACGGGCGGGCUUGAAUCCAAGAGAGGGUGGUGGAAUUCCCAGUGUAGAGGUGAAAUUCGUAGAUAUUGGGAAGAACACCAGUGGCGAAGGCGGCCACCUGGCUUGGUAUUGACGCUGAGGCGCGAAAGCGUGGGGAGCAAACAGGAUUAGAUACCCUGGUAGUCCACGCCGUAAACGAUGUGUGCUAGCCGUCGGGCAGCUUGCUGUUCGGUGGCGCAGCUAACGCGAUAAGCACACCGCCUGGGGAGUACGGUCGCAAGAUUAAA
RNAcentral lists this ribosomal RNA (371 nucleotides) under uncultured bacterium. RNAcentral describes it as "bacterial SSU rRNA". It matches the Rfam family "Bacterial small subunit ribosomal RNA", at positions 527 to 898 of the family's 1533-position model. The record is from RNAcentral.